GGGAGAUUAGGCAUGGGGACUCUGACUUGGGCACGGAUUUCCUUGGACCAAUAGGCAAUGUGUUGUGGUCACUGAGCCUCAGAGCCAGACAGGUCUUAAGUGAUCUGUCCGAGCUUUUCAUUUUAUGGAGAGAGGAAGUGCCUUCUUCUCUAAGGUCAUUCAGCUAAUCAGCUCAUCGGGGAAGCAAGAUUCAAGGUGGGAAGCAGAUGAGCAGAUGAGGGGUGCAGCCUGGCCUGGGAAAGAGGGCUGGAAUUCCAAGGAGGUACCUGAGACCCUAGCUCAGAGCCCCCUUCUUGGGCUUGUGGGUGAUGCAGCUGCUCUGAGCCACAAGAUCCUUGAUCUACAUUGCCGUUGCCUGGGCCCUUGGGCUUUCCUGGGCUUUCUAAGCAUAAAGGUGCCACCCUUCCCUGAUUUCCAAAGGCUCAGGCCACAGAUGCAGGAAACUGAAAUGAAAAAAUAUGCUUGGGACUUAGAUUGGGGGAUCUGAUGUCCUUAAAAACCCCCAUCAGGACGAGGUGUGGUGAUGCACACUUGCAAUCCCAGCACUCAGGAGGCUGAGGCAGGAAGAUCGCCAUGAGUUCAAGGCCAGCCUGAACUACAUAGUGAGACUUUGUUUCAAGAAACCAAAACAGAAAAAGGAGGAGGGAAAAGACCCCCAUCAGUCCUUAGCCCCUCUAUCCCCUUCCCUUGGCUCCAUCAUGAUUCUUUCUUUUGGUUGCUGCUGUCUGAAGACUGAACAGCUUUGUUCAUCCUUUCUUUUAACAAAUAUUUAUUGAAUGC
RNAcentral lists this long non-coding RNA (780 nucleotides) under Heterocephalus glaber (naked mole-rat). Its description in RNAcentral is "lncRNA (ENSHGLG00000046896.1)". The record is from RNAcentral. Lineage: Eukaryota; Metazoa; Chordata; Mammalia; Rodentia; Bathyergidae.